RNAcentral lists this ribosomal RNA (406 nucleotides) under uncultured bacterium. RNAcentral's name for it is "partial 16S ribosomal RNA". It matches the Rfam family "Bacterial small subunit ribosomal RNA", at positions 30 to 526 of the family's 1533-position model. The record is from RNAcentral.
AUUGAACGCUGGCGGCAGGCCUAACACAUGCAAGUCGAACGAGUGGCGGACGGGUGAGUAAUGUCUGGGAAACUGCCUGAUGGAGGGGGAUAAAUACUGGAAACGGUAGCUAAUACCGCAUACCCUCAGAUGUGCCCAUAUGGGAUUAGCUUGUUGGUGGGGUAACGGCUGACCAGGGCGACGAACCCUCUCUGGUCUGAGAGGAUGACCAGCCACACUGGAACUGAGACACGGUCCAGACUCCUCCGGGAGGCAGCAGUGGGGAAUAUUGCACAAUGGGCGCAAGCCUGAUGCAGCCAGGCCGCGUGUAUGAAGAAGGCCUUCGGGGUGUAAAGUACUUUCAGCGGGGAGGCGUUACCCGCAGAAGAAGCACUGGCUAACUCCGUGCCAGCAGCCGCGGUAAUUC